UGGAUGGGGAAGGAUGAGAGGGAUGCGUGUUUGUGUGUGUGCUUGGGGUGAGGCGGCAAACUGGUUUUAGAACUCCUCUUAGAUUAUUUAGGCUAACCCAAAUUGAGAAAGAAAAAAAUAUUUAGAAAAUAAUAUAACCAGUUUAAAUGUCAUCUAGAUCUUGGCGAAUAUGGAUUUUUCUCAGAUUCACUUGGCGUUCUGGGAGAAAUAAAAGAAGGCUUGCAGCUACCAGAAAGUCAUUAAGGCAUUAGUUUCUCUAAGAAGACAGAUCUGAAGAAAAUGGAAGAAAGUGAGAAAAAAUAAAAACAAGGGUAAAGAAGUCUUCUUCCGCUUUGCAGUGCAUAACUCAUACAACAUACAUCACUCAUACUGGAGGCAAAAAAAAAUUUUCUGUUAAGAUCUAUUUACUUUUCCAAUGCUUUUUCCUAAUCAAGAGCUGAGAACUUAAUUUCAGUAUCCCUAUAGCUGCAGGUAGAAAGACACAAACCAAACUAGAUAAUCUAACCACAUUUUAAAUUGCAGUAAAGAGGUCAGAAUAUUUUGCACACGUGCAGGAGUUUGCAGUCACAAAAAGUUUUGCGAUAUGAACCAUGAUUGAAAAUGAACUAUGGAAAACAUAUAUCAAAAGGAAAAAAAACCACUUAAAAUAGAAUUGACAUAGAAAAGAAAGCUUUAGUUGUUCCAAAUUAAUA
Long non-coding RNA from Rhinolophus ferrumequinum (greater horseshoe bat), 692 nucleotides. RefSeq lists it as uncharacterized. Lineage: Eukaryota; Metazoa; Chordata; Mammalia; Chiroptera; Rhinolophidae. The transcript has 3 exons. The record is from RefSeq and is a predicted model, not a curated record.